Molecule: non-coding RNA, 37 nt
Organism: Calothrix sp. PCC 7507
Lineage: Bacteria; Bacillati; Cyanobacteriota; Cyanophyceae; Nostocales; Calotrichaceae
Source: Rfam
GUUCCAAUUAACUUAAAUCCCUAUCAGGGAUUGAAAC